This is a non-coding RNA of Camellia sinensis, 698 nucleotides long. The record is from RefSeq and is a predicted model, not a curated record. Lineage: Eukaryota; Viridiplantae; Streptophyta; Magnoliopsida; Ericales; Theaceae.
UGCUAAAUCUUUAGAGGUCUUGUUUCAAAAAGGCCUUUUAGCAACAAUGAGCAUUUUGGUAAAGGGUCUAAGGAAAUUUCUUCCAAGCAUUUUGGUAAUGUUUUUUAUUUUUUAUUUUUUUCCCACAUCCAUUUUCAAGAAAACCUUUGGACACUUCUGUUAAUGGAUCUUUUAAUUUUUGUUUUCAGUUUUGUUCAAUAGUUUUAGACUUCAUACAAUCAUGAAACUUAUCAUUUUCUCUAUUUGCCUUUGUGCAUUUCGCUUAACUAAUUGUCCCUGGUUUUCAAGCCAUCAAGAACCAUAUGAUCAAAUAUUACAUUAAAAAGCUCAUAUCUUUCAAUUGAAUGGUAUCAUUCUAAAAGAUCUGCAAUUUUUUUUGAAUUUUCAAGGCAGCAAAAGCAAGUUGCAAUGGUGAUUAUGUGAAUAUAGAUAAUGAAGAUUGUAAAUUAAAUAUGGAAGCCAUUGAUGAGUUGAUCCUAGACAUAAAUUUGGUACAAGUUUUGGAACCUUAUUGUGAGGACACACCCCCGAGACCACAUGAGGGAAAAUGGCGUCAAAGAUCUCUCAAAGAGCACCCUAAAGAUCCCCUCCGCUUACAACCUAUUGGUCCUGCAUAUUUUUGCCGGGUUACCUUUAUGUUCUCUCCGAGAUAUGGGCAAAUAACGAGACUGUCCAAGAAGCUCUCAAAUUUCGAUCGG